UUUUUAAAUUGCUGUGGUAUUUUGACUAUACAAAGGUAUUGAAAUAAGAUUUUAAUUGAAUGCUAAGAGAAUGGAAUUUCAGAAAAAAACUUUUUUUAAAUUAAAAAUUGAAAUUUUUUUAAUUUGUGCAGAAACAAUUAUUAACAUUAAGGACAAGAAGACCCUAUGAAUUUUUAAAAUUUUUAAUAAUAGUAAUUUAUUAUUAUUAAAAAUUUUAGCUGGGGCGGCUAAAAAAUAUAAUUAACUUUUUAAGAAUAAAACGAUCCACUAAUAAUGAUUACAUGUUAAAUACUCUAGG
RNAcentral lists this ribosomal RNA (298 nucleotides) under Rhipicephalus pusillus. RNAcentral describes it as "partial 16S ribosomal RNA". The record is from RNAcentral. Lineage: Eukaryota; Metazoa; Arthropoda; Arachnida; Ixodida; Ixodidae.